AACCUUACCUAGGUCUUGACAUCCCGAUGCUAUUCUAGAGAUAGAAGUUACUUCGGUACAUCGGUGACAGGUGGUGCAUGGUUGUCGUCAGCUCGUGUCGUGAGAUGUCGGGUUAAGUCCCGCAACGAGCGCAACCCCUAUUGUUAGUUGCCAUCAUUCAGUUGGGCACUCUAGCGAGACUGCCGGUAAUAAACCGGAGGAAGGUGGGAUGACGUCAAAUCAUCAUGCCCCUUAUGACCUGGGCUACACACGUGCUACAAUGGUUGGUGCAACGAGUUGCGAGUCGGUGACGGCGAGCUAAUCUCUUAAAGCCAAUCUCAGUUCGGAUUGUAGGCUGCAACUCGCCUACAUGAAGUCGGAAUCGCUAGUAAUCGCGGAUCAGCACGCCGCGGUGAAUACGUUCCCGGGCCUU
This 412-nucleotide ribosomal RNA is filed under the name uncultured Streptococcus sp. RNAcentral's name for it is "bacterial SSU rRNA". It matches the Rfam family "Bacterial small subunit ribosomal RNA", at positions 966 to 1382 of the family's 1533-position model. Lineage: Bacteria; Bacillati; Bacillota; Bacilli; Lactobacillales; Streptococcaceae. The record is from RNAcentral.